RNAcentral lists this ribosomal RNA (414 nucleotides) under uncultured microorganism. RNAcentral describes it as "bacterial SSU rRNA". It matches the Rfam family "Archaeal small subunit ribosomal RNA", at positions 330 to 745 of the family's 1478-position model. The record is from RNAcentral.
GUGCAGCAGGCGAGAAAACUUCACACUGUGCGAAAGCACGAUGAGGGAAUCCCAAGUGCUUGCACGUAAGUGUAAGCUGUUUCUCUGUCUAAAACGCAGAGGGGGUAAGGGCUGGGUAAGACGGGUGCCAGCCGCCGCGGUAAUACCUGCAGCUCAAGUGGUGACCGUUAUUAUUGGGCCUAAAACGUCCGUAGCCGGUUUAAUAAAUGCCUGGGUAAAUUGUGUAGCUUAACUAUACGAAUUCCGGGUAGGCUGUUAAACUUGAGACCGGGAGAAGUUAGAGGUACUCCUGGGGUAGAGGUGAAAUUCUGUAAUCCUAGGGGGACCACCAGUGGCGAAGGCGUCUAACUAGAACGGGUCUGACGGUGAGGGACGAAGCCCUGGGGCGCAAACGGGAUUAGAUACCCGUGUAGU